Molecule: transfer RNA, 84 nt
Filed under: Felis catus (domestic cat)
Lineage: Eukaryota; Metazoa; Chordata; Mammalia; Carnivora; Felidae
Also listed under: 2 other names
Rfam family: tRNA
About the family: Transfer RNA (tRNA) molecules are approximately 80 nucleotides in length.
Source: Rfam by way of RNAcentral
GCUCAGUUGGUUAAGGGUCUGACUCUUGAUUUCGGCUCAGGUCAUGAUCUCACUGUUUUGUGGGUUCAAGCCCCACAUCGGGCU